UACAGGGGGGGCAAGCGUUGUUCGGAAUUACUGGGCGUAAAGAGCUCGUAGGCGGCCGGUUGCGUCUGCUGUGAAAUCCCGGGGCUUAACCCCGGGCGUGCAGUGGAUACGGGCCGGCUGGAGGCAGGCAGGGGAGAAUGGAAUUCCCGGUGUAGCGGUGAAAUGCGCAGAUAUCGGGAGGAACACCGGUGGCGAAGGCGGCUCUCUGGGACGGUACUGACGCUGAGACGCGAAAGCGUGGGGAGCGAACAGG
This 253-nucleotide ribosomal RNA is filed under the name uncultured bacterium. RNAcentral's name for it is "partial 16S ribosomal RNA". It matches the Rfam family "Bacterial small subunit ribosomal RNA", at positions 524 to 776 of the family's 1533-position model. The record is from RNAcentral.